AACACAUGCAAGUCGAGGGCCUCGGUAGCACAGGAGAGCUUGCUCUCUGGGUGACGAGCGGCGGGUGAGUAAUGUCUGGGAAACUGCCUGAUGGAGGGGGACGGAUAACUACUGGAAACGGUAGCUAAUACCGCAUAACGUCUUCGGACCAAAGUGGGGGACCUUCGGGCCUCACGCCAUCAGAUGUGCCCAGAUGGGAUUAGUAGGUGGGGUAAUGGCUCACCUAGGCGACGAUCCCUAGCUGGUCUGAGAGGAUGACCAGCCAAGCUCACUGGAACUGAGACACGGUCCAGACUCCUACGGGAGGCAGCAGUGGGGAAUAUUGCACAAUGGGCGCAAGCCUUGCAGCCAGAUGCCGCGUGUGUGAAGAAGGCCUUCGGGUUGUAAAGCACUUUGAGGAGCGGGAAGGGUUCAGUGUUAAUAGCACUGUGCAUUGACACCGUUACUCGCAGAAGAAGCACCGGCUAACUCCGUGCCAGCAGCCGCCGUAAUACGGAGGGUGCAAACGUUAAUCGGAUUACUGGGCGUAAAGCGCACGCAGGCGGUUUGUUAAGUCAGAUGUGAUUAUCCCCGCGCUUAACGUGGGAACUGCAUUUGAAACUGGCUUCCUAGAGUCUUGUAGAGGGGGGUAGAAUUCCAGGUGUAGCGGUGAAAUGGGUAGAGAUCUGGAGGAAUACCGGUGGCGAAGGCGGCCCUUUGGACAAAGACUGACGCUCUGGUGCGAAAGCGUGGGGAGCAAACAGGAUUUUGAUACCCUGGUAGUCCACGCUGUAAACGAUGUCGACUUGGAGGUUGUGCCCUUGAGGCCAGGCUUCCGGAGCUAACGCGAUAAGUCGACCGCCUGGGGAGUACGGCCGCAAGGUUAAAACUCAAAUGAAAAGACGGGUUCCCCACAAGCGGUGGAGCAUGUGGUUUAAUUCGAUGCAACGCGAAGAACAUUACCUACUCUUGACAUCCACAGAAUUCGAUAGAGAUAGCUUAGUGCCUUCGGGAACUCUGAGACAGGUGCUGCAUGGCAGUCGUCAGCUCGUGUUGUGUUAUGUUGGGUUAAGUCCCGCAACGAGCGCAACCCUUAUCCUUUGUUGCUAGCACGUAAUGGUGGGAACUCAAAGGAGACUGCCGGUGAUAAACCGGAGGAAGGUGGGGAUGACGUCAAGUCAUCAUGGCCCUUACGAGUAGGGCUACACACGUGCUACUUAUGGCGUAUACAAAGAGAAGCGAACUCGCGAGAGCCAGCGUACCUCAUAAAGUACGUCGUAGUCCGGAUCGGAGUCUGCAACUCGACUCCGUGAAGUCGGUUUCGCUAGUAAUCGUAGAUCAGAAUGCUACGGUGAAUACGUUCCCGGGCCUUGUACACACCGCCCGUCACACCAUGGGAGUGGGUUGCAAAAGAAGUAGUUAGCUUAACCUUCGGGAGGGCGCUUACCACUUUGUGAUACAUGACUGGGGUGAAGUCGUAACAAGGUAACCGUAGGGGA
Molecule: ribosomal RNA, 1478 nt
Filed under: Serratia sp. PTSe-1
Lineage: Bacteria; Pseudomonadati; Pseudomonadota; Gammaproteobacteria; Enterobacterales; Yersiniaceae
Description: 16S ribosomal RNA
Rfam family: Bacterial small subunit ribosomal RNA
Source: RNAcentral